ACAUCACCCCCUUCGAGGAGCUACGACCAUCUUUAACCACAACGCUGUCUAAGACCGUUGAUCAAGGUCCACUUUGGAUCAUUGACACCUUUUGUAAGAAUCAAACGAUUCCACCACUGCCUUACCAUUGUGCAUUAUGGUUAAGACUAGUGCACAUUAUUGGUGGAAUUGGGUGUGAUGAUCUGCAUAAUUGUACAGGGGUAACGUGUUCAGUUGGAUUGUUAUUAUUAUUACAGUUUAAAUGUUAUUUUUGUUGUCAAAUUCUGGUAACAUGUAACAACCAUCAAUCCAAGUUUGGAAUAGCUUUGGAAUCAGAUCUGUGUCAGUCAAGAAGAAUAAUGUUGCUAGAAAAUGGCUCUGUAGGCAGGGUCCUGUCAUAUUUUUGCAUAACGUUUAUAGGUUGAGAACUAACAUGUAUACACUUCAGAGAAUUACUCGUAUAUUUUUUGUUUGAUUUUGAAUUGGCUGGAAAUACGACAGCCAGUUUGCCUUCAGAUAGUUUUCUUAUGGGGUGGGAAUUUAGGCUUGUAAACUGGUUGUGAUUGG
Molecule: long non-coding RNA, 546 nt
Filed under: Medicago truncatula (barrel medic)
Lineage: Eukaryota; Viridiplantae; Streptophyta; Magnoliopsida; Fabales; Fabaceae
Description: long non-coding RNA (MTRU_LNC006990)
Source: RNAcentral